AAUGAACGCUGGCGGCAGGCCUAACACAUGCAAGUCGAGCGCGCGGCGGACGGGUGAGUAAUGUAUGGGAACUGCCCUAUAGAGGGGGAUAACUACUGGAAACGGUGGCUAAUACCGCAUACUAUCCGAUAACCCAUAUGGGAUUAGCCAUUAGGUGGGGUAAAGGCUCACCAAGGCGACGAUCGCUAGCUGGUCUGAGAGGGUGAUCAGCCACACUGGAACUGAGACGCGGCCCAGACUCCUACGGAGGCAGCAGUAGGGAAUAUUGCGCAAUGGGCGCAAGCCUGAUGCAGCAAUGCCGCGUGUAUGAAGAAGGCCUUAGGGUUGUAAAGUACUGUCAGCGGGGAGGCGUUACCUGAAGAAGAAGCACCGGCUAACUACGUGCCAGCAGCCGCGGUAAUAC
This 403-nucleotide ribosomal RNA is filed under the name uncultured bacterium. RNAcentral describes it as "partial 16S ribosomal RNA". It matches the Rfam family "Bacterial small subunit ribosomal RNA", at positions 29 to 526 of the family's 1533-position model. The record is from RNAcentral.